GAGGCAGCAGUGAGGAAUAUUGCGCAAUGGAGGAAACUCUGACGCAGCCAUGCCGCGUGCAGGAAGACUGCCCUAUGGGUUGUAAACUGCUUUUAUAUAGGAAGAACUACAGUUACGUGUAGCUGUUUGACGGUACUAUACGAAUAAGGACCGGCUAACUCCGUGCCAGCAGCCGCGGUAAUACGGAGGGUCCAAGCGUUAUCCGGAUUUAUUGGGUUUAAAGGGUCCGUAGGCGGGUUAUUAAGUCAGUGGUGAAAUCCUACAGCUCAACUGUAGAACUGCCAUUGAAACUGUUAACCUUGAGUAUAAUUGAAGUGGGCGGAAUGUGUCAUGUAGCGGUGAAAUGCUUAGAUAUGACACAGAACACCGAUUGCGAAGGCAGCUCACUAAGUUAUAACUGACGCUGAGGGACGAAAGCGUGGGUAGCGAACAGGAUUAGAUACCCUGGUAGUCCACGCCGUAAACGAUGUACACUCGUUGCUGGCGAUACACAGUCAGUGACCAAGCGAAAGUGUUAAGUGUACCACCUGGGGAGUACGCUCGCAAGAGUGAAACUCAAAGG
Molecule: ribosomal RNA, 562 nt
Filed under: uncultured bacterium
Lineage: Bacteria
Description: bacterial SSU rRNA
Rfam family: Bacterial small subunit ribosomal RNA
Source: RNAcentral